This 1338-nucleotide long non-coding RNA is filed under the name Anas platyrhynchos platyrhynchos (common mallard). RNAcentral's name for it is "lncRNA (ENSAPLG00000020415.1)". Lineage: Eukaryota; Metazoa; Chordata; Aves; Anseriformes; Anatidae. The record is from RNAcentral.
UCAGGGAGGGGGGAGCAGGGACAGCAGGUCCCUGCUGGAGCUGCCACCACCGUGUGAGUCAGAGCAGGGCUGGCAGCGGGGGCACGUGGCCGCUCGGCGAGGCCAGGCUGGGCCCACGGGCACCCCGCUGCCCCCCAGGGUGGUCCCGGACCCCACAAAGAAACCCGGACCCGUGGGCUGGGGGGGGGAGAAGGAGGGGAAGGGGAUGCUCUGCCAGAGCCCUGGUGCCAUGGGGAUCACUGCCAGGCCCCCCCGGUGUUGGCGCAGCCCCACAGCGGGUGCUGCACCAUGGGGUGGGGGGCACAGCAGAAUGGGACCCCCCCCAGGUACCAGCCCUGGGUGGGGAGGGGAUGGGCAGGGAGAGGAGGGGAGGGGAGGGCAGGCGGUACCCAGGGAUGCUCUGGGCUCUCCCUUGUUGCCAUGGCAACUGCUGGGGGGGGGAGUGAUGCAAGCAUCAUGUGCCCCCCCCAAAAGGACCCCUUUUGGGGCCAGAUCACCUGGAUGAGUGGGGACCCCACGGGGGUCCUGCGUCCGGGCAGGGCGAAGCUCCUGCAGGGUGGGCUCCCGUGGCUCAGGGUGGGAGCAGAGGGGGCGCUGGGGGAGCUCGGGGUCAUUCUGGGGUGCCCUGGGUGGGCAGGGGGCCAUGGGGGGGCCCCACAGGGCACUGGGGGAACCACUGGGAGCGGGCAGGGAGGCGCGAGGCGGCGCAGCAGGAGGCGGAGGCGCGCGGAGCAGACCACCACACUUUUAUUCCAUAGUCACAACACCAGGAGAACCAUUAGCCGAGCUUCCCCAACACCGGCCGUGGCUUCGGGCCGUGCCCUGCUAGUCCGCGCCGGCGCCCCCCCCCCCCCCCCCCCAAAAAAACGCCAGGUACAGGACCCCUCACGAACACAGCACCAACGGGAACCCCGAGCGCUCGCCGCGGCUCCGGCCCGCUCGGCCGCCGCCCGGGCGGCUUCUUUCCUGAGAGAGGUUUGGUUUUUUUUAUUUUUUAUUAUUAUUAUUAUUAAUUUAUUAUUAUUUAUUAUUAUUAUAGUGAUGAGGGAUGGCGCAGGCACACUCGCUCGCACACGCGCGCGCCAGCCCAGCACCGGGCAGCUGGUGGGGGGGGGAGCUCGGCGGGACGGACGCGGGGGCUCUACAAGCACUACAACCACACGGCACAGAAAUAAAAACCCCACCACCCACGGCCACGACGCGCCGCUCGCCCCCCCGGAUGCACCCCACGAGGCAGAGGAAGGGGGGGACGAAGAAGAAGCAAAUGGUGUUGUGCUUGAGGCCGGGCUCCGGCUCGCGGCACGGAGCCAAAGCCUGCUCCUGAGGAAACGCCCGGCA